ACUCCUACGGGAGGCAGCAGUGGGGAAUAUUGCACAAUGGGCGAAAGCCUGAUGCAGCGACGCCGCGUGAGGGAUGACGGCCUUCGGGUUGUAAACCUCUUUCGACAGGGACGAAGCGCAAGUGACGGUACCUGUAGAAGAAGCACCGGCCAACUACGUGCCAGCAGCCGCGGUAAUACGUAGGGUGCGAGCGUUGUCCGGAAUUACUGGGCGUAAAGAGCUUGUAGGCGGUUUGUCGCGUCGUCUGUGAAAACU
This 255-nucleotide ribosomal RNA is filed under the name Nocardia amamiensis. RNAcentral describes it as "partial 16S ribosomal RNA". It matches the Rfam family "Bacterial small subunit ribosomal RNA", at positions 335 to 602 of the family's 1533-position model. The record is from RNAcentral. Lineage: Bacteria; Bacillati; Actinomycetota; Actinomycetes; Mycobacteriales; Nocardiaceae.